GCCAGGCGUGGUGGCAGGCGCCUGUAAUCCCAGCUACUCGGGAGGCUGAGGCAGGAGAAUCGCUUGAGCCCGGGAGUUGGAGGUUGCAGUGAGCAGAGACUGAGCCACUGCACUCCAGCCUGGGUAACAGAGCGAGACUCUGUCUCAA
This 148-nucleotide non-coding RNA is filed under the name Gorilla gorilla gorilla (western lowland gorilla). The record is from Rfam by way of RNAcentral. Lineage: Eukaryota; Metazoa; Chordata; Mammalia; Primates; Hominidae.